RNAcentral lists this transfer RNA (71 nucleotides) under Colibri thalassinus. RNAcentral describes it as "tRNA-Lys". Lineage: Eukaryota; Metazoa; Chordata; Aves; Apodiformes; Trochilidae. The record is from RNAcentral.
CAUUAAGAAGCUAUGCAACAGCGCUAGCCUUUUAAGCUAGAAAAAGAGGACCCCCAACCCUCCUUAAUGAU